UACGAGAGGCCCAAGCGUUAUUCGGAAUUACUGGGCUUAAAGAGUUCGUAGGCGGUUUGAAAAGUCGGGGGUGAAAGCCCUCGGCUCAACCGAGGAAUUGCGCUCUAAACUGUCGUACUCGAGGAACCUAGAGGUGAGCAGAACAGAUGGUGGAGCGGUGAAAUGCGUUGAUAUCAUCUGGAAUACCGGAGGCGAAGGCGGCUCGCUGGGACGUUACUGACGCUGAGACGCGAAAGCGUGGGGAGCAAACAGG
This 253-nucleotide ribosomal RNA is filed under the name uncultured bacterium. Its description in RNAcentral is "partial 16S ribosomal RNA". It matches the Rfam family "Bacterial small subunit ribosomal RNA", at positions 524 to 776 of the family's 1533-position model. The record is from RNAcentral.